RNAcentral lists this ribosomal RNA (433 nucleotides) under uncultured bacterium. Its description in RNAcentral is "partial 16S ribosomal RNA". It matches the Rfam family "Bacterial small subunit ribosomal RNA", at positions 29 to 507 of the family's 1533-position model. The record is from RNAcentral.
AACGAACGCUGGCGGCAGGCCUAACACAUGCAAGUCGAGCGAGGACUUCGGUUCUAGCGGCGGACGGGUGAGUAACGCGUGGGAAUGUGCCCUUCUCUACGGAAUAGCCCUGGGAAACUGGGAGUAAUACCGUAUACGCCCUAUUGGGGAAAGAUUUAUCGGAGAAGGAUCAGCCCGCGUUGGAUUAGGUAGUUGGUGGGGUAAUGGCCUACCAAGCCGAUGAUCCAUAGCUGGUUUGAGAGGAUGAUCAGCCACACUGGGACUGAGACACGGCCCAGACUCCUACGGGAGGCAGCAGUGGGGAAUCUUAGACAAUGGGGGCAACCCUGAUCUAGCCAUGCCGCGUGAGUGAUGAAGGCCUUAGGGUUGUAAAGCUCUUUCAGCUGGGAAGAUAAUGACGGUACCAGCAGAAGAAGCCCCGGCUAACUCCGUG